GCCGGGUGUGGUGGUGCAUGCCUGUAAUCCCAGCUACUCAGGAGGCUGGGGUAGGAGAAUCACUUGAACCUGGGAGGUGGAGGUUGCAGUGAGCCAAGAUGGCGCCAUUGCACUCCAGCCUGGGUAAUAGAGUGAGACUCUAUCUCAA
Pongo abelii (Sumatran orangutan) is the source of this 148-nucleotide unclassified non-coding RNA. It matches the Rfam family "Metazoan signal recognition particle RNA". Rfam says of the family: The signal recognition particle (SRP) is a universally conserved ribonucleoprotein. It is involved in the co-translational targeting of proteins to membranes. Lineage: Eukaryota; Metazoa; Chordata; Mammalia; Primates; Hominidae. The record is from Ensembl.